UCAAGAAACUUCCACAAUGGGCGAAAGCCUGAUGGAGCGACGUCGCGUGAUGGACGAAGUGCUUCGGCACGUAAACAUCUUUUAUGUGGGAUGAAAUUAUUGACAGUACCACAUGAAUAAGGGGCUCCUAACUCUGUGCCAGCAGGAGCGGUAAUACAGAGGCCCCAAGCGUUAUCCGGAAUCACUGGGCGUAAAGGGUGUCGAGGCGGUUGUAUUAGUCGUGUGUCAAAACUCUGGGCUUAACCUAGAAUCUGCACGCGAAACGGUACAACUGGAGGACGCGAGAGAUGUGUAGAACUCAUAGUGUAGGGGUGAAAUCCGUUGAUAUUAUGGGGAAUACCAAAAGCGAAGGCAGCACAUUGGCGCGCUCCUGACUCUGAAACACGAAAGCGUGGGUAGCGAAUGAGAUUAGAUACCCUAGUAGUCCCUGAGCGGGCUGGCAAGGCGCAU
This 450-nucleotide ribosomal RNA is filed under the name uncultured bacterium. RNAcentral's name for it is "bacterial SSU rRNA". It matches the Rfam family "Bacterial small subunit ribosomal RNA", at positions 355 to 825 of the family's 1533-position model. The record is from RNAcentral.